GUUUAUCUAAACAUUUUUUGGAAUAUCAUGAUGGAGACCCAGCAGGCCUGGAUUUUUUUGCAAUAGAUCAUAUUAAAAUACACUGGAGAGGGGGUGAUAAGGAUAAUCUUUUAAGCAAAAAUGAGAUGAAAUGGAUUUUUAAUUUGGAUACACUUACACCGGGGGGAUUAAACGUAGAUUUUGAAAUUAACACUUAUAUUUAACUAUAAUU
Molecule: non-coding RNA, 211 nt
Organism: Pelobates cultripes (western spadefoot toad)
Lineage: Eukaryota; Metazoa; Chordata; Amphibia; Anura; Pelobatidae
Source: the annotation of a GenBank genome assembly